AGAACGAACGCUGGCGGCAUGCCUAACACAUGCAAGUCGAACGAGACCUUCGGGUCUAGUGGCGCACGGGUGCGUAACGCGUGGGAAUCUGCCCUUGGGUUCGGAAUAACAGUUAGAAAUGACUGCUAAUACCGGAUGAUGACGUAAGUCCAAAGAUUUAUCGCCCAGGGAUGAGCCCGCGUAGGAUUAGCUAGUUGGUGAGGUAAAGGCUCACCAAGGCGACGAUCCUUAGCUGGUCUGAGAGGAUGAUC
RNAcentral lists this ribosomal RNA (251 nucleotides) under uncultured soil bacterium. RNAcentral's name for it is "partial 16S ribosomal RNA". It matches the Rfam family "Bacterial small subunit ribosomal RNA", at positions 26 to 305 of the family's 1533-position model. The record is from RNAcentral.